AUACAGAGGGUGCGAGCGUUAAUCGGAAUUACUGGGCGUAAAGCGCGCGUAGGCGGUUUGUUAAGUCGGAUGUGAAAUCCCCGGGCUCAACCCGGGAACUGCGUCCGAGACUGGAAGGCUCGAAUCCGGGAGAGGGAUGUGGAAUUCCAGGUGUAGCGGUGAAAUGCGUAGAUAUCUGGAGGAACAUCGGUGGCGAAGGCGGCAUCCUGGACCGGUAUUGACGCUGAGGCGCGAAAGCCAGGGGAGCAAACGGGAUUAGAAACCCCUGUAGUCC
RNAcentral lists this ribosomal RNA (274 nucleotides) under uncultured bacterium. Its description in RNAcentral is "partial 16S ribosomal RNA". It matches the Rfam family "Bacterial small subunit ribosomal RNA", at positions 523 to 796 of the family's 1533-position model. The record is from RNAcentral.